Neogale vison (American mink) is the source of this 590-nucleotide long non-coding RNA. RefSeq lists it as uncharacterized. The record is from RefSeq and is a predicted model, not a curated record. The transcript has 3 exons. NCBI's taxonomy places the organism in Eukaryota, Metazoa, Chordata, Mammalia, Carnivora, Mustelidae.
AGAGGGUCCUGGGGGUGGGGAUGGGGCGGAGCUCCAGCCUCCAAGAUCUGGGCAGGACUGCGGGCAGCCGCUGAGAUGGGGAGACCGAGUCUCUCUGAGGUGCUGCCUGUCCCCACGUGAGACCACAAUGCCACCACAGCAGGAACCUCCACAUACAGGACAGUGAGGGCAGAGCUCAGCCCAGGGCAGGGGGGCUCUGCAGGGGGAGCUGGGUCAGCUCUGGGGGUCUGCCCUCAGGGUCUUCUUCAUGUUGUCCUGAGAACCCCUCAGAGUCUCCACCAAGACUUGACUCUUGUCCCUUCAAGGGGGGUCAGCAAUCCCAGACAACGGCAGGGGAAGGAGGACAAGGUGUUCAUGCCGCGAGCCUUCUUCAAUGUCUCCGGGUGAGAAAAUGGUUCUGGGCUUGCCCCAAGCAGGACACAGAGCUGACUGGAGCACACGGCCACCCCACCCUGGAGAAGGGGCCCUCAGGACAGGUCCAGGCACCGGAGACGUGCAAGGACGUGGCUCCUCUGGGUGCCAGUCUCCAUGUCUGGGUGCUGGGGCAGGACUAGGAGAAGCCCCAGCUCGCCAAGAAAGCCCACGUCUGC